Molecule: RNA transcript, 2671 nt
Organism: Papaver somniferum (opium poppy)
Lineage: Eukaryota; Viridiplantae; Streptophyta; Magnoliopsida; Ranunculales; Papaveraceae
Gene name: SEC1 family transport protein SLY1-like
Exons: 3
Source: RefSeq, a predicted model, not a curated record
UAUAUUCUUCUUAUUUGCGUAAUUGAGAUUUACCACGCAGAGAGACAUUGUUAGAUCUGUGUUACUAUCUUCCGCGACUAGCUUUCUCGUAGAUUUGAACUCCAGAUCGGAACCGUAACCCUAGAAAAUCUUUUCUGUAGUGAAGAAUGGCGCUGAAUCUUCGACAGAAGCAGACCAAUUGUAUCAUUCGUAUGUUAAAUCUGAAUCAAUCACCGAACUCUAAUGGAACUGGGAAUGAAGAAGUAUACAAAGUAUUAAUCUUCGACAAAUUCUGUAGAGAUAUUUUAUCACCAUUAAUUCACAUUAAAGAUCUGCGAAAACAUGGAGUUACUCUUUAUUUUAUUAUUGACAAAGAACGUCAAACAAUUCCUGAUGUACCGGCUGUAUACUUCGUUCAACCUACUCAAUCAAAUAUUCAGCGAAUUGUCUUAGAUGCUUCUCGUUCAUUGUAUGAAAGUUUUCACUUGAAUUUUUCAUCCUCUUUACCUCGUCCAUUGCUUGAAGAUCUUGCUUCUGGAACUUUAAAAACUGAUUCAGUUCAAAGGAUUUCUAAGGUAUUUGAUCAGUAUUUAGAGUUUGUUACUUUAGAAGAUAAUUUAUUCUCACUUGCACAACCAUCUUGUUAUGUUCAACUGAAUGAUCCUUCAGCUGGUGAUCAAGAAAUUGAAGAAAUUAUUGAGAAAGUAGUAAGUGGAUUAUUUUGUGUUUUAGCUACAUUAGCUGUUGUUCCGAUUAUUAGGUGCCCUAAAGAUGGACCUGCUGAGAUGGUUGCUAGAGCUCUAGAUUUAAGGUUGCGCGAUCACUUGAUUUCCAAGAAUAAUUUAUUUUCAGAAGGGGGGAACUUGGGUAGUUCUUUUCAGCGCCCUGUUCUGUGUAUUUUUGAUCGAAAUUUCGAACUUUCUGUGGGUAUUGAACAUGAUUUUAAGUAUCGCCCACUUGUUCAUGAUCUUCUUGGUUUGAAGCUCAAUGCGGUUAGUGUGAAGGGAGAGAAGGGUGGAUCUAGAUCUUACGAGUUGGAUGGUUCAGAUCCGUUUUGGGUUGCGAAUGGGAACUUGGAAUUUCCAGAAGUUGCAGUGGAGAUUGAGACUCAACUAGGAAAGUAUAAGAAAGAUGUUGAUGAGGUGAAUAGGCGAACUGGUGGACAUGAAGGAGCUGAAUUCGAUGGUACAGAUUUGAUUGGGAAUACCAAGCAUCUGAUGAAUGCAGUGAAUUCACUACCUGAAUUGACCGAGAGGAAGCAAGUGAUAGAUAAGCACACCAACAUUGCAACUGUUUUGUUGGGCGAGAUCAAAGAGAGAUCUUUGGAUUCGUAUGCUAAGAAAGAGAAUGAUAUGUUAACUAAAGGAGGUAUUGAUCGGAAUGAACUACUUAGUGUUCUAAGAGGUAAAGGAACGAAGACCGACAAGCUUAGAUUUGCAAUAAUCUAUCUUCUCUCGACAGAGACUACACCCCAGUCCGAAGUGGAGGCAGUAGAGGCAGCAUUAAGGGAGGCAGAGGUGGAUACUUGUGCAUUUCAGUAUGUGAAGAAGAUAAAAUCCUUGAAUGUGUCGCUGGCUUCAGCAAAUUCUGCAAGUAAGAGUAACAUUGUUGAUUGGGCGGAGAAGUUAUACGGCCAGUCUCUUAAUGCUGUGACAGCAGGAGUCAAGAAUCUCUUAUCAAGUGAUAGGCAACUCGCAUUAACAAGAACUGUAGAAGCGUUGAUGGAGGGUAGGCCAGUCCCUGAAACUGAAACCUACCACUUCUUUGAUCCACGUUCGCCAAAAGCAAGCUCGAAUGCUGUUAGUAACCAUUUGAAAGGACCAUUUAAGGAAGCAAUCGUGUUCAUGAUUGGUGGUGGAAAUUAUGUUGAAUAUGGGGGUCUGCAAGAGUUUGCUUCACGACAACAACCUGCCAAGCAUAUCAUAUAUGGAACAACUGAAGUUCUUACAGGAAUCGAGUUCGUAGAUCAGCUAUCAAUCUUGGGUCAGAAAAUGGGAUAUGGGAGUACUGUGACUCCUCCUUCUAACUGAGGUUCAUGGACCAGUUUUAACUUUUGCUGUUUACGUGUUUUAUCAUAUAUGUGAGUACAUUUGCUUACAAUGUUCAAAUUAGUGAAGGUCAAUAUACUUAUAGCAUACUCAGUUGUGUAAUUGGAGCUCAAAUCUGUGAAGCAAGUUUGGAUUUGUGUUGAUUUGGUAAUGUCCAAGAUGAACGUGUCGAUUUCCAAGUGAACAAGAAUCAAAACACUAUUUUGGCGAGCAGUGUCGUUUAUGUUCAUUAAUGUGAAGUACUAAAGUGAACUUGCACCUUGGUACUUCAAUCAUAAUUUUCCUGCCAGUACCCCAUGGGUGAUGGAGAGUUGCUUUCCGGAAUCUCUGUUCCAUGGUUCUGACUCUGCUGAGAUCCUGUUGAACCUCUUUCUUUUCUCCAAGGGGUCUCUCAGCUUAGGAUUAUUUAUAUCUGUGUGUUUUUCCGAGGUCAUGUUGAACCUCUUCCCAAAGAGUCGAUCCAGUGCAGGAUAAUAUCUGUUGCUUGCCCUUUAAAGAACCGAAAGGAAGAUUCACUGCAGACUAGAGCCUUAAUUUAAUACUAUUGUAAGUUUUUUAUUCUUCAGAAUCUGUUCUUUCAUUAAUAUUCUAAGCAUAGAUUCUCAUUCCAGCCUGUUAAAAGAAGGUUCUGCGGCUUCUGCCCC